This 1142-nucleotide long non-coding RNA is filed under the name Lupinus mutabilis. RNAcentral's name for it is "partial ncRNA". Lineage: Eukaryota; Viridiplantae; Streptophyta; Magnoliopsida; Fabales; Fabaceae. The record is from RNAcentral.
CUGAAACACUGAAAAUGAGUAGUACAAUGCACCAAACCUAUGAACCCCACUUCCACAUACCUAUGAACCAUGGUUACUUAUCCAACCAAAAUUUAUAAAACAAAAAACAUGAUUAUUACUUACACAUACCAGCACCCUACCAUGGUUACUUACUGCUAUAUUUUCCGUUCUAUCAUCAAUAGUUGGGUUAGUUUAUUUAUGGGGUAGUUAAAGUGCAACAACAAAAAGUUUUUGUAUGGGAAAUUCCAGGCACCUCAUGCUACAUCAAUACACAAAAACAAAUCAUAUCAAUUCUUUACUCUAUUCUAUGGUUAUAUAUAUUUUUAUCCAUUCUAUAGUUCAGAAAGGUGUUUACUUUUUCUUUGUUAUAGUUGAGAAAGUGUUUUGCAUCACAAAGAAGGAACUAUAUGUGUAAUUCUAUUAGUAAAGCUUUGAUUUUUUAUGCAUAUAGAAAUAAGACAUAGCAGGGUAGUAUUAUUAUUAGUGAUAGAUAGGGAAUAAGGUUUAUGCAUAUAGAUAUGGGGAAGAAGAGACAAAAAAUGAAGGAACUUUCAGUAGCAAUAGCAGAGGCUUCAUGCAUACAAGGUUCUGAGAAGGGUCAACAACAGAUUCAAUCUCAGGCUCCUAGAAAAAGAGGUAGGCCUCGUAAGAUUAUUGUGAUGGAAAGGAGCCAAGAGAAGAAAAUAGAAGCAAGAGAAGAAGAAGCUUCUACAGCAGAAAAGAGCAAAGAAAGUUGUUCAAUGAAUAAAGAAGAACAAAAGGAAUCAGCUACAGAAACAUGCAUAAGUAUUGAUACAAAGGAAGAAGAGAUUCAAGUUCCUAAAGGGGAACCUUCCAGAAACAGGGCUAGGAGGAAAAGCAAACCCAGAAAAAGUACUUGAACAAAAUGAAUACAACUUGGUAAGUUUAAUUUCUUCCUAGGUUUGUCAUCUUAUCCAAACAGCUUUUUCUUUUGGUUCUUAAGUUUAUAUAUCUGUGUGCAUAUAGUUUUGGUUAAAAUAACUUGUUGGUUGUUAUUGCUUAAACUAGAUGUGAAUUGUGAAUGAAUAUGAUAUAAGGAUGUUUCAUCUUAGCUUUUCAUUCUAAUAAUAAUGAUGGAGAGGAAAUGGAAUCGAUGUAUAUCUAUAAUUAUAUAUAACGAC